Long non-coding RNA from Myotis brandtii (Brandt's bat), 471 nucleotides. RefSeq lists it as uncharacterized. Lineage: Eukaryota; Metazoa; Chordata; Mammalia; Chiroptera; Vespertilionidae. The record is from RefSeq and is a predicted model, not a curated record. The transcript has 3 exons.
UGGAGGGAUUGCAGUAGGACUCCAUUUCCAUGCUGCGUUCAUAAAAUAGUUUAUCCAAUGACGACAAUGAGGGUUGUUGACAAUGCUACCCUGAUUUUUCUGUUCUUCUGCACUGGAAUGGAAAGUGGUGAUUUUUUUAAGUUAAUGGUUUUGCUGGCGAUACUUUGAAACUGGGUAAAUAUCCUGUUUCUCAACAAACUAAAAUCCACUGAUUUGACAGCCUCUGACAAUUCUUGACUGACUCAGUUUUUACUGUGAUGACUGCAAAAUGGGAUGCCUCUUAGUAAAUACCAGAUGGCUUGUACAUUAGGCCUAUCUUUGGGAACCACCUGCAUCAUCGCCUCCUGAAAUGAGACAACUGUUUAACUGAACUGUUUUCAAGACUGAGACUGGUUUUAAAACUUAUAUCUACAUAUAUAAAAGCCUAAUAUGCAAAGUGUCCCCUCAGGAGUUCAACUGACUGGGAGUUUG